This 253-nucleotide ribosomal RNA is filed under the name uncultured bacterium. RNAcentral's name for it is "partial 16S ribosomal RNA". It matches the Rfam family "Bacterial small subunit ribosomal RNA", at positions 524 to 776 of the family's 1533-position model. The record is from RNAcentral.
UACGAAGGGGGCUAGCGUUGCUCGGAAUUACUGGGCGUAAAGCGUGCGCAGGCGGUUGUGUAAGACAGAUGUGAAAUCCCCGGGCUCAACCUGGGAACUGCAUUUGUGACUGCACAGCUGGAGUGCGGCAGAGGGGGAUGGAAUUCCGCGUGUAGCAGUGAAAUGCGUAGAUAUGCGGAGGAACACCGAUGGCGAAGGCAAUCCCCUGGGCCUGCACUGACGCUCAUGCACGAAAGCGUGGGGAGCAAACAGG